Molecule: long non-coding RNA, 878 nt
Organism: Scylla paramamosain (green mud crab)
Lineage: Eukaryota; Metazoa; Arthropoda; Malacostraca; Decapoda; Portunidae
Exons: 5
Source: RefSeq, a predicted model, not a curated record
UGCAAUGCUGCAGAGGUCGAAUCCGGAUGGCGAGUCGGAUCAAGAAAACUGAAAACGAACAGAAAACGCAGCAGGGGUUCAUUCGUUGCCAAGCAGUGGAGGAGGGAGGAGCUGCCUGGGUGUUCGUCUGUUUGGCUUCGUGUCUUGUACUACUGAAGUCCUAUACAGCCUGGGACAGUAAACACUUGCUGGGAAGGUGAUGGAAUGCUGAUGGCUAUUUCGAUGAGAACGAACAAAAAUCGUAGGAGGGGUCUGGUUUGCCAUGCGGCGGACGAUGACGGAGCGGCCCGAGUUAGUGCCUGAACACAUGAUGGAAAGAAAGUAACGUAUGGUAUAAUACAAGUGGAACGACAGCAAUGGGAACAGUAGAUACAGUCGCUGUACUUUGGGCCAGAGUCCAGUAACACUCAGGAUCAAAAUGAGAAGCAACGACAUCGACAACGCCGAAGAAUCGUGGAGACGGUCUCUGUCGCCUGUGGAGUGACGCUCUCUUCCAGUCAUUCCUUGUGUGUCAGACUUGUGGUCUUGCAGUGUUGCGAAUAACAAGCUUCCUAGUGUUCUAAGACUCCCCCACCACAGUUGACUGAACUUUGAAUUUUUUUUCUUUCUACAGGUUUUCUUUCUACAUGAAAACCUGUUAUUUUUUUUCUAAAAAAAUCUUCUACAGGUUUUCUUUCUACAUGAAAACCUACAGGUUUUCUUUCUACAUGAAAACCUGUUGUGGUUUUUCUCCGUUCUCCGGAGAGUCUUUGAGGUAUCGGAAGUGAGGAAUACGAACAUCGUGUUUUCGGAAUUCACUUUUAAUCCAUAGUAAAAGGAUAUUCUGCCAUGUAAAAAAAAAUAACCAUGCAAAAAAUAAAAAUUACCUUGCUUUUUUA